AUUGAACGCUGGCGGCGUGCCUAACACAUGCAAGUCGAGCGGCAGCGCGGGAGCAAUCCUGGCGGCGAGCGGCGGACGGGUGAGUAAUGCUUGGGAAUCUGCCUGUUAGUGGGGGACAACCCGGGAAACGUCGGGCUAAUACCGCAUACGCACUACGGUGGAAAGCCGGGGACCGCAAGGCCUGGCGCUAACAGAUGAGCCCAAGUCGGAUUAGCUAGUUGGUAGGGAACGGCCUACCAAGGCGACGAUCCGUAACUGGUCUGAGAGGACGACCAGUCACACCGGAACUGAGACACGGUCCGGACUCCUACGGGAGGCAGCAGUGGGGAAUAUUGGACAAUGGGGGAAACCCUGAUCCAGCGACGCCGCGUGGGUGAAGAAGGCCUGCGGGUUGUAAAGCCCUUUCAGUGGGGAAGAAAAGCCUCGACCUAACACGUCGGGGUCUUGACGUAACCCAUAGAAGAAGCACCGGCUAACUCUGUGCCAGCAGCAG
RNAcentral lists this ribosomal RNA (493 nucleotides) under uncultured bacterium. RNAcentral's name for it is "bacterial SSU rRNA". It matches the Rfam family "Bacterial small subunit ribosomal RNA", at positions 29 to 517 of the family's 1533-position model. The record is from RNAcentral.